UCGCGCGAUCCCCUUGAGUUUGAUAUGGCUCAGAAUCAACGCUGGCGGCGUGCCUCAGACAUGCAAGUCGAACGCGAAAUUUCCCUUCGGGGAGAAAGUAGAGUGGCGCACGGGUGAGUAACACGUAGGUAAUCUACCUCUGGGUGGGGAAUAACAGCCGGAAACGGCUGCUAAUACCGCAUAAUGCAGCGGCACCGUAUGGUGACAGUUGUUAAAGCGGGGGAUCUCGCAAGAGACCUCGCGCCUGGAGAGGAGCCUGCGGCAGAUUAGCUAGUUGGUGAGGUAAUGGCCCACCAAGGCAACGAUCUGUAGCCGGCCUGAGAGGGCGGUCGGCCACACUGACACUGACAUACGGGUCAGACUCCUACGGGAGGCAGCAGUCGGGAAUUUUGGGCAAUGGGCGAAAGCCUGACCCAGCAACGCCGCGUGAAGGAUGAAAUCCCUCGGGAUGUAAACUUCGCAAGAAUGGGAAGAAUAAGGAGGGGAUAAUAACCCCUCUGAUGACGGUACCAUUUGUAAGCUCCGGCUAACUCCGUGCCAGCAGCCGCGGUAAUACGGGGGGAGCAAGCGUUGUUCGGAUUUACUGGGCGUAAAGGGCGCGUAGGCGGCCGAACAAGUCACUUGUGAAAUCUCCGGGCUUAACUCGGAAAGGUCAAGUGAUACUGUUUGGCUAGAGUGCGGAAGGGGCAACUGGAAUUCUCGGUGUAGCGGUGAAAUGCGUAGAUAUCGAGAGGAACACCUGCGGCGAAAGCGGG
RNAcentral lists this ribosomal RNA (755 nucleotides) under uncultured bacterium. RNAcentral's name for it is "bacterial SSU rRNA". It matches the Rfam family "Bacterial small subunit ribosomal RNA", at positions 1 to 725 of the family's 1533-position model. The record is from RNAcentral.